This 92-nucleotide non-coding RNA is filed under the name Actinophytocola xinjiangensis. RNAcentral's name for it is "Glycine sequence". It matches the Rfam family "Glycine riboswitch aptamer". From Rfam's summary of the family: This family represents the bacterial glycine riboswitch. Glycine riboswitches usually consist of two metabolite-binding aptamers domains with similar structures in tandem. The record is from Rfam by way of RNAcentral. Lineage: Bacteria; Bacillati; Actinomycetota; Actinomycetes; Pseudonocardiales; Pseudonocardiaceae.
AGAUCCCGCGCGGGAGAGUCCGGCACCCGUGCCGGCGCCGAAGGAGCAAAUCCUCCCCGGAACCUCUCAGGCACCCGAACCGCACGGGAGAG